CUGAGUCAUGAUCAGAGACAAGUCACGAUUUUGGAAAUUUUGAAACUCCGCACUUUCUAAUUAAGCGAUUUCUCCCCUCCCCGGAUUCCUGGAACGAAAAGAAUGGAGAAUAGCCGACCGUCGUCCGAUCUUUUCUUCGCGCCCUUCUAAGCUUCCAUUACAUGUGUACGCAUUGCUCCUGCGUUCCCGGCAUGGCUUUUUCCUACAUAUCUCGCAGGAAUUCAACUUGUCUCUUUCUCGAGCAGUAGAAUGAGCGCAACCCAGCCCAAGCUUGAAGAUCUUUGCCGUUUUUGCGCCAAAUUCUCUGAUACAGCGAUGCCCAUUUUCAAUGCUGACAGUAAUGAAGAAAUUUUGGAAAUGAUUAGAAGAUUAGUUCCUUUUGAAAUAAAUUCUUGUGAUGGAUUACCUCAAAAAAGUUGUGAAACAUGUCUAGUGCACCUAAAAUCAUGCAAGCAGUUUUUAGACGAUUGCAUUCAAGCAAACGAGAAACUCAGAAACUUCAGCUUUCUGCUGUCUGAUGAAGGCUGUAAUUCUGAUGAGGUGAGCACUGAGCACCCACCAAUCCUAUUUAAUUGCAUUCAAUGAUAUUUUCUUAUUUUCUUUAUACAUAUUUUGUCAAGUUCCAAGAAGAAUCUAAAUAUGCUCGUGAUAAUCAGCCUCUCUACUGAAAAACACAUUUCCAUGUUUAGAUCUUCCUAGAUUAUGGGAACACCAUUGCAGAAAUCUGACAAGAGCUCAUUGUUCUAACCUUGGUUUUUCCUGCUGUUAGGUGUCAGAUUAGGCGACGUAAAUAGCAAUAUGUGUCAGAAAGGUUUGCAGUUGUUUACUUUCCGUUUGCAAGUGACUGCCAUAAAGUUGUCUUAUAGUCUUCGAGGAUUAACUGUGGGCAAUGUCAUCGCUGUGCGUAAAAAUGGAAAUUGGUCUACUGUGGAAGAUAAUUGAAAGUAAACAACUGCCAAUUUAUCAGGCCGGAAUUCCAGGGUUGCCAGUCAGAGAAUUUUAAAUAUAUAGGGAAAACUUAGAACUGUUCUGGAAAAUGACAAAAGUGUUGGGGAAAAAUCGUUAAGUCGCCUUAAUACAUUCUAGAAAGGGGUUUGACGUUUCGAACAAUAAAGUUUGCCUACAAACUAUUUUCAAUUAUGUCUUUUUAACCAUCUGGCAUAUCUUCAAUCGCCUGGGAAUUUCACUAAUAUGUGUCAGGGAAUCUCAUUUUCUAAAUUCUGUGGCAAUUCAGUAGUUUUAGAAAAAUUACUAUUUUGCACACUUUAACCAUUCAAAAGUUUUCCAAAAAACUAGGCUCACUAACUGCUCUGCACUAUCAAUCCUUUGAAAAAAAGCAAUGUUUUUUUCUUUUCUGGAAAUGUAUUAUUCUUUAUUUCGUCAGAAGUGAAUUCUGGACUGAAAUGAACGAUGCAAUUGCUUUUGUGUUGCAUCUAACAAUUAAAAUAUCUGAUUUUAUCUCAAAAAGAACUAAUGAUUUCAUCAAUCAGUCAAGUUAUAUAUGUGGCCAUCUGUGAGAAGGAGGCAAAGUACAUUCUACAUUUUUGGCAACUGGGUCAACAAUUUUGUUUGUAGUUUCCGAUGGAAUGGUUUUCCUCCAAGUUGCAAGUAAUUUAGUUCACUUUUUUUUUUUUGAAGGAAGGAGGGUGGAAAGCGCAUUUUUGUCUCUAAAAGUUAGAGCCCAAGAAUAACUGUUUCAAUCGUUAGUUUUAAAUGGUUCUAAUCCUCAAACUGUGUUUUUUAAACUACUCAAAAGCUAAAAUCAAGUCCAUGCUUAGUAAUUGUACGCACCCUCAGAGUGGGACAGAGGAUUAGCAUUCCUCAGUUUAGCAUUGGAAGUAGGUGCAAGAAUCAAGAGGGUGGAUUUUCUGUUGCACUCUAUAAGUGGGUAAAUUUAGUUGAUGUAGACUCUAACUUUGAGGUGGAGCACAAUUUUUGGAAUUUUGGGCAUUUUUCUGUCCCAAAUAGUGGCAAAAUAGUCCUUUAUGCUCUAGUACCAUUAUCUUUAACUUUAUAUUGCGUUUUUCUGGUUUAUGGCCCUUUUUCCUUUAGAUGGUCGUUCAUAGAUAAGGAAAAAAUCUGGGAACUUAAAAACAUUAUGAGUAGCGAUCUGUCUGCUCUUUAAACUUUUUUAGCAGUAUUCACACAUUAAGUAUUUUGCUUAUUGAAGAUAGUUUCCUCCAAAUUUUUUCUCUCUACUCAAGGCAAGAAAAGCUUAUCAGAAAUCUCUCAACAACAAUUUAAAAAUGAUUUUUCAAUUAUUUCGUAAAAUUUUUUAGCCAACUCUCUGGAUAAUUUGGCCUUGGAGCAGCAGGAGAAUCCCCAAAAUCUGUAGCUGUUUCAGCAGAAGAAGCACACUUUAAAAUGAAGCAAGAUCAGAAGAGUUGAUCAAAGUACAUCAAAAUAGUGGAGAUGAAACAGUCCAUCAUGAUUCUGACUCGCAACUUCAUUCGGCCCUAGAAGCUCAACCCUCAGCUGCAUCUCUUCUGUGUGACAUUUGUGGCAAAGUUUUUGAGCGGGCCAACAAUCUUAGGGUCCACAAAGCAACACAUCUUGAAGAUGCCUUGAAGAAAAAGCAUGUUUGUUCUACAUGCGGAAAACGUUUCUUCUCUAGGUAUGUGUCUAUCAGAGUAUUUGCACCUAAGUUUUGCAGGGUGCAGAAUGUUCCCGAACCAGCGACCGAUCGGUUGCUCGACCUAUGUGUAGGCUGUGGAAAAUUGUGUAGGCUUUUUUUUUUUUUUUGUUAAUAAAAUUUAUUACGUUAAUUCUGGAGAAAGUUAUUGUAAAGUAUUGAAUUUUGAGAAAAUGACUGCGGAAACAUCGAAUUUGAGGAAAAAUAUUGCGACCGCAUUGUAUUUUAAAAAAAUUACUGCGACCGCGUAAUGUAAUAGUGGGUAGGCUAAAUCCCUGGUUCCUCAAAAUUGUGUAGGCCGAGGUCCUUUCUGCACUCCUAAAGUUUUGCAGUCUAAACAUGUUUUAGUCAAUAAAUGAAUGAAUGAAUAAUAAUUUAAAAAAAUAAAAAAAUAGAUUUUUGCAAGAACAAUAUUGUAGCUUGUUUCAUAUUUUAGGGAGAAAAAAAAUUUCAUUGCUGUCAGUUGAAAUGCACCAAAGUCGUGCAAUUUUUAAGGCUUUCAAUGUGAAAGACGCAUUUCCUUUGUCGAACUUCUGCUCGGAUUCGCUAAGCAAGUUGAACUUGAAAAGUCCCGAAGUUUAAAGCCACCUCAUUUUUGGGAACUCUCAAAUUCCUUUAUCUUUUUUGUUAUGUGUCAUAGUAAAUAAAUAAUUGUAUAGAGCAAUUUGAACUCCAGUGUAGGUGUUUUUAUCUUGUGAAAUUGAAGGAACAUCUCAGAAUUUCACAGAUCCGAAGUUACUGACGCUUAUAAACAACUUCCGCGCAUUGACAUAAAAAUCGCCGUCUAUCCGCGAGGUGAAAAUUGAGGUGAAAAUUGUAGCUUUUUCUGAUCAGAAUUUUCCUCUCAAAAAUUCAAGGUUGCAGUGCAGUAUUGAAGUAGUGUGCAGUCCUGUCAGUGAUGGGUUUUUUCCAGUUGCAAGAAGGCAACUAUGACCAACACUGAGAUCAUGUCUGCGACGUUUCUAUUUUAUGCCCAUCUCUUAGCUCUACAUCUUGCUGGUCACUUCCAACCGUUAAUUUAUCAGUUUACUACUGCUCAACUCCAAGCUUUGAUACAUACAGUAUGUUUAGCUCAAGAGGCUGGAGAGAAUCACGAACAGUGUAACGUCAAGAAAAGGAGUAUGAUGUUGGCCAGGGCAAUUAACUUGCUUAAUUUUACAUCCUUGCCUCUGCCUGGUAUUAAAU
Molecule: long non-coding RNA, 3817 nt
Filed under: Bemisia tabaci
Lineage: Eukaryota; Metazoa; Arthropoda; Insecta; Hemiptera; Aleyrodidae
Description: lncRNA ENSSSA3NGG012899
Source: RNAcentral